CAGCUGGGUGGGGUGAUCCUCAGUAGGGGAUAAAAAGGGAGAACACCAUCUUUUGUACUGAGUGUGUUACUUGCAAAUUACACAUCAGUAGAACACACCUGACUCUCCUCCAUCAGUCAAACAAGGAGAAUGAUCUAAUGCCACCCUUCAAAAAGAGAGCUGGCCCAAGCAAGCACAGGUUACACCUGAAGCAUGCGGACUUGCAGCGAGUGGUGAACUUCAACAACAACUACACACAAGAUAAUGCAAUAGUAUUACCAGGACGCCACCCAGGACACAAACAUUUUGGUGGAAAGCUGCUUCCAUCCCAUGUGACAAAAGCAGCAGUAUGGCGUCUCUACAAGGAACAGAUGACAACACUUGAGGUACGUGUGCUGUGGUACUGUGCUGGUGGAAAGCUAUGGCUGGCAACAACACCUGACUGCAUACUUCAGGCCGCUGCCACAGAUCAGGCAGUACCAGCACUUCAGAUUAAUAUAAUUUUAUUGUAUUCUUCGACACUCUGGAGCCUGGUGUUGUUGUCACCAAGGAGUGUUCGGACUCAGUCUGAACCAGGUUUCAGCUGCUGCGCAACGCUGACAUCCUUCCUCCCAUAGCUGUACAAGCACCACCGGGACUGGACACAGCUAGACAAACCUAUCUUUUUGAGAAGAUCAGGGAGUUUUGCGAUGAAGAGGCUAUGGACAUUACAUGCCCUGCACCAAAGUCAAGGGCAGGACAGAAACAGGCUCUCCGAAUAUAGAUUCCCUUAUAAACUUGUAAACUCACUUUUGAGAAAGGGCCUUUGAAUGUUUUGGUACCUAAUGGCGAGCUCUCCUUUGUCUACACCCAUUCAGCAUUGUUCACACCCUCUUAAGCCAGCCCCACCCAUCUCUUUAAGGACUCACAUGUGUGGUCAUGGGAUAAACAGUGGGAAGUGUAGUAAAGAUUAAGACUAAAAGUGAUAGUAGUCUACAAUAAGGAAAACAGAAAGUGCCCAGAUAAAAAUAUUUCAUAAAUAUUAGAUGUCGCUUACCCAGACACACUUGUCUAAAUUGAUGGGUCAUGUGAA
Molecule: non-coding RNA, 1051 nt
Organism: Salmo salar (Atlantic salmon)
Lineage: Eukaryota; Metazoa; Chordata; Actinopteri; Salmoniformes; Salmonidae
Source: RefSeq, a predicted model, not a curated record